Molecule: ribosomal RNA, 468 nt
Filed under: uncultured bacterium
Lineage: Bacteria
Description: partial 16S ribosomal RNA
Rfam family: Bacterial small subunit ribosomal RNA
Source: RNAcentral
GACGAACGCUGGCGGCGUGCUUAACACAUGCAAGUCGAACGGAAAGGCCCUGCUUGUGUGGGGUGCUAGAGUGGCGAACGGGUGAGUAACACGUGAGUAACCUGGCCUUGACGUGGGGAUAACUUCAGGAAACUGGGGCUAAUACCGGAUAGGAGCUCCUGCUGCAUGGUGGGGGUUGGAAAGUUUCGGCGGUUGGGGAUGGACGCGCGGCUUAUCAGCUUGUGGGGGGGGUAGUGGCUUACCAAGGCUUUGACGGGUAGCCGGCCUGAGAGGGUGACCGGCCACAUUGGUACUGAGAUACGGCCCAGACUCCUACGGGAGGCAGCAGUGGGGAAUAUUGCACAAUGGGCGGAAGCCUGAUGCAGCAACGCCGCGUGCGGGAUGACGGCCUUCGGGUUGUAAACCGCUUUCGCCUGUGACGAAGCGUGAGUGACGGUAAUGGGUAAAGAAGCACCGGCUAACUACGUG